Neltuma alba is the source of this 116-nucleotide long non-coding RNA. RefSeq lists it as uncharacterized. NCBI's taxonomy places the organism in Eukaryota, Viridiplantae, Streptophyta, Magnoliopsida, Fabales, Fabaceae. The record is from RefSeq and is a predicted model, not a curated record. The transcript is spliced from 3 exons.
AACAUAAAUCACAUUACCCUAUCUGACUUUUACUCAAUCUGACUUCUAUAAAAGUCAGAUUGAAAAAAAGCUACUUCUGCCACCGCUAUCCCAAACACACCCAUACUCUACAAGAA